CACGCCAUAAACGAUGAGUGCUAGGUGUUGGGGGUCAAACCUCGGUGCCGCAGUUAACGCAUUAAGCACUCCGCCUGGGGAGUACGUUCGCAAGAAUAAAACUCAAAGGAAUUGACGGGGACCCGCACAAGCAGCGGAGCAUGUGGUUUAAUUCGAAGCAACGCGAAGAACCUUACCUGGAUUUGACAUCCCUCUGACCGUUUCUUAACCGAGACCUUUCCUUCGGGAACAGAGGAGACAGGUGG
This 245-nucleotide ribosomal RNA is filed under the name uncultured Alkaliphilus sp. Its description in RNAcentral is "partial 16S ribosomal RNA". It matches the Rfam family "Bacterial small subunit ribosomal RNA", at positions 796 to 1041 of the family's 1533-position model. The record is from RNAcentral. Lineage: Bacteria; Bacillati; Bacillota; Clostridia; Peptostreptococcales; Natronincolaceae.